ACGAUUGUACUAAUACAGGAUCGUAUUCUACAUUUCGUACACCUAAUCAGUUUUCUCCAAAUGAAAACAAGCUUCUUACCUCAGACGACGACCGAGAAGGCCGCGCGCUCGAGCUCGACAAUCCGCUUCGCGACGACGCGGCGUCUCGGACGCCGCGCGGCGCGCUAGCUUGAUGAAGGCCCUGUGUCGUCACAUUCCAAGUCACAGAGGACGGCGCGCGGUCAGACUGAUGAGCG
This 236-nucleotide small nucleolar RNA is filed under the name Ostreococcus lucimarinus CCE9901. Its description in RNAcentral is "snoRNA Plant_U3". The record is from RNAcentral. Lineage: Eukaryota; Viridiplantae; Chlorophyta; Mamiellophyceae; Mamiellales; Bathycoccaceae.